AGUGAACGCUGGCGGUAGGCCUAACACAUGCAAGUCGAACGGCAGCACAGUAAGAGCUUGCUCUUACGGGUGUCGAGUGUCGGACGGGUGAGGAAUACAUCGGAAUCUACUUUUUCGUGGGUGAUAACGUAGGGAAACUUACUCUAAUACCGCAUACGACCUACGGGUGAAAGCAGGGGAUCUUCUGACCUUGCGCGAUUGAAUGAGCCGAUGUCGGAUUAGCUAGUUGGCGGGGUAAAGGCCCACCAAGGCGACGAUCCGUAGAUGGUCUGAGAGGAUGAUCAGCCACACUGGAACUGAGACACGGUCCAGACUCCUACGGGAGGCACAAGUGGGGAAUAUUGGACAAUGGGCGCAAGCCUGAUCAAGCCAUACCGCGUGGGUGAAGAAGGCAUUCGGGUUGUAAAGCCCUUUUGUUGGGAAUGAAAAGCAGCAGGUUAAUACCCCGCUGUUAUGACGGUACCCAAAGAAUAAGCACCGGCUAACUUCGUG
This 492-nucleotide ribosomal RNA is filed under the name uncultured bacterium. RNAcentral's name for it is "partial 16S ribosomal RNA". It matches the Rfam family "Bacterial small subunit ribosomal RNA", at positions 29 to 507 of the family's 1533-position model. The record is from RNAcentral.